Molecule: ribosomal RNA, 459 nt
Filed under: uncultured bacterium
Lineage: Bacteria
Description: SSU rRNA
Rfam family: Bacterial small subunit ribosomal RNA
Source: RNAcentral
AGAAUCAACGCUGGCGGCGUGCCUAACACAUGCAAGUCGAACGAGAAAGUGGAGCAAUCCAUGAGUAAAGUGGCGCACGGGUGAGUAACACGUGACUAACCUACCUUUUAGUGGGGGAUAACCUAGGGAAACCUGGGCUAAUACCGCAUAAUACCUACGGGUCAAAGCAGCAAUGCGCUGAAAGAGGGGGUCGCGGUCGAUUAGUUAGUUGGCAGGGUAAUGGCCUACCAAGACUGUGAUCGAUAUCCGGCCUGAGAGGGCGCACGGACACACUGGAACUGAAACACGGUCCAGACUCCUACGGGAGGCAGCAGUGGGGAAUUUUGCGCAAUGGGGGAAACCCUGACGCAGCAACGCCGCGUGGAGGAUGAAGUCCCUUGGGACCGUAAACUCCUUUCGAUCGGGACGAUAAUGACGGUACCGGAAGAAGAAGCCCGGCUAACUCGCGCCAGCAGCCGC